UACAGAGGGGGCAAGCGUUGUUCGGAAUUACUGGGCGUAAAGGGCGCGUAGGCGGCCGCCUAAGUCAGACGUGAAAUCCCUCGGCUCAACCGGGGAACUGCGUCUGAUACUGGGUGGCUUGAAUCCGGGAGAGGGAUGCGGAAUUCCAGGUGUAGCGGUGAAAUGCGCAGAUAUCUGGAGGAAUACCGGUGGCGAAGGCGGCCUUCUGGACCAUAACUGACGCUGAUCCGCGAAAGCUAGGGGAGCAAACGGG
This 253-nucleotide ribosomal RNA is filed under the name uncultured bacterium. Its description in RNAcentral is "partial 16S ribosomal RNA". It matches the Rfam family "Bacterial small subunit ribosomal RNA", at positions 524 to 776 of the family's 1533-position model. The record is from RNAcentral.